CUGCAUGGCUGUCGUCAGCUCGUGUCGUGAGAUGUUGGGUUAAGUCCCGUAACGAGCGCAACCCUUGUCCUUAGUUACCAGCACGUUAUGGUGGGCACUCUAAGGAGACUGCCGGUGACAAACCGGAGGAAGGUGGGGAUGACGUCAAGUCACCAUGGCCCUUACGGCCUGGGCUACACACGUGCUACAAUGGUCGGUACAAAGGGUUGCCAAGCCGCGAGGUGGAGCUAAUCCCAUAAAACCGAUCGUAGUCCGGAUCGCAGUCUGCAACUCGACUGCGUGAAGUCGGAAUCGCUAGUAAUCGUGAAUCAGAAUGUCACGGUGAAUACGUUCCCGGGCCUU
Molecule: ribosomal RNA, 342 nt
Filed under: uncultured Pseudomonas sp.
Lineage: Bacteria; Pseudomonadati; Pseudomonadota; Gammaproteobacteria; Pseudomonadales; Pseudomonadaceae
Description: bacterial SSU rRNA
Rfam family: Bacterial small subunit ribosomal RNA
Source: RNAcentral